RNAcentral lists this ribosomal RNA (305 nucleotides) under uncultured bacterium. Its description in RNAcentral is "bacterial SSU rRNA". It matches the Rfam family "Bacterial small subunit ribosomal RNA", at positions 337 to 634 of the family's 1533-position model. The record is from RNAcentral.
CCCUACGGGGCGCAGCAGUAGGGAAUCUUCCACAAUGGGCGAAAGCCUGAUGGAGCAACGCCGCGUGGGUGAAGAAGGUCUUCGGAUCGUAAAACCCUGUUGUUAGAGAAGAAAGUGCGUGAGAGUAACUGUUCACGUUUCGACGGUAUCUAACCAGAAAGCCACGGCUAACUACGUGCCAGCAGCCGCGGUAAUACGUAGGUGGCAAGCGUUAUCCGGAUUUAUUGGGCGUAAAGGGAACGCAGGCGGUGUUCUAAGUCUGAUGUGAAAGCCGUCGGGUUUACCGGAGUAGAGGCAUGGGAACG